Molecule: microRNA precursor, 82 nt
Filed under: Monodelphis domestica (gray short-tailed opossum)
Lineage: Eukaryota; Metazoa; Chordata; Mammalia; Didelphimorphia; Didelphidae
Description: mir-199 microRNA precursor family
Rfam family: mir-199 microRNA precursor family
About the family: This family consists of the microRNA (miRNA) precursor mir-199 which appears to be specific to humans. Animal miRNAs are transcribed as ~70nt precursors and subsequently processed by the Dicer enzyme to give a ~22nt product. In this case the mature sequence comes from the 3' arm of the precursor.
Source: Rfam by way of RNAcentral
GCCCCACCAGCCCAGUGUUCAGACUACCUGUCCAGGAGAUUGCAAAGGUGUACAGUAGUCUGCACAUUGGUUAGGCUGGGCU